UACUCCUACGGGAGGCAGCAGUGAGGAAUAUUGGUCAAUGGGCGCAAGCCUGAACCAGCCAAGUAGCGUGAAGGAUGACUGCCCUAUGGGUUGUAAACUUCUUUUAUAAAGGAAUAAAGUCGGGCAUGGAUACCCGUUUGCAUGUACUUUAUGAAUAAGGAUCGGCUAACUCCGUGCCAGCGAGCCGCGGUAAU
Molecule: ribosomal RNA, 194 nt
Filed under: uncultured bacterium
Lineage: Bacteria
Description: partial 16S ribosomal RNA
Rfam family: Bacterial small subunit ribosomal RNA
Source: RNAcentral